Non-coding RNA from Pelobates cultripes (western spadefoot toad), 211 nucleotides. NCBI's taxonomy places the organism in Eukaryota, Metazoa, Chordata, Amphibia, Anura, Pelobatidae. The record is from the annotation of a GenBank genome assembly.
CCAACAUUUCUAUAGCUACUCGGUCUGAAACAAAUGGCUCAGGGGUCAUAGGCAUCUUGUUACAUUUAUUUCGGAAAAGUGUUAUAAAGCCAAGUUUAGGAAGCAAAUUGGAACUUUCCUAAUAGACAGAAAGAGGUUAAUGAGGUGAAUUAGGCAUGGGCCUAGCAUGGAGGACAGAAAGUUAAUGAGAUAGAACGGAAUAGCAUUAUAG